UUCCGGUUGAUCCCGCCGGACCUGACUGCUAUCGGAUUGGUACUAAGCCAUGCGAGUCGUUGUAGCAAUACAAGGCGGACGGCUCAGUAACACGUAGUCAACCUAACCUAUGGACGUGGAUAACCUCGGGAAACUGAGAAUAAACCGCGAUAGAUCAUUAUGCCUGGAAUGGCUUAUGGUCCAAACAAUUUAUUGCCGUAGGAUGGGACUGCGGCCUAUCAGCUUGUUGGUGAGGUAAUGGCCCACCAAGGCUAUAACAGGUACGGGCUCUGAGAGGAGAAGCCCGGAGAUGGGUACUGAGACACGGACCCAGGCCCUAUGGGGCGCAGCAGGCGAGAAACCUUAGCAAUGUGCGAAAGCACGACUAGGUUAAUCCGAGUGAUUUCUGUUGAAGAAAUCUUUUGUCAGUCGUAAAACCACAGACGAAUAAGGGGUGGGCAAGUCUGGUGUCAGCCGCCGCGGUAAUACCAGCACCUCGAGUGGUCAGGAGGUUUAUUGGGCCUAAAGCAUCCGUAGCCGGCUUUGCAAGUCUCCGGUUAAAUCCAGCUGCUCAACAGAUGGGCUGCCGGAGAUACUACAAAGCUAGGGAGCGGGAGAGGUAGACGGUAUUCGGUGGGUAGGGGUAAAAUCCACUGAUCCAUCGAGGACCACCAGUGGCGAAGGCGGUCUACCAGAACGCGUUCGACGGUGAGGGAUGAAAGCUGGGGGAGCAAACCGGAUUAGAUACCCGGGUAGUCCCAGCUGUAAACGAUGCAAACUCGGUGAUGCAUUGGCUUAUGGCCAAUGCAGUGCCGCAGGGAAGCCGUUAAGUUUGCCGCCUGGGAAGUACGGACGCAAGUCUGAAACUUAAAGGAAUUGGCGGGGGAGCACCACAAGGGGUGAAGCCUGCGGUUCAAUUGGAUUCAACGCCGGG
RNAcentral lists this ribosomal RNA (913 nucleotides) under uncultured crenarchaeote. Its description in RNAcentral is "bacterial SSU rRNA". It matches the Rfam family "Archaeal small subunit ribosomal RNA", at positions 1 to 922 of the family's 1478-position model. The record is from RNAcentral. Lineage: Archaea; Thermoproteati; Thermoproteota.